UUUGAUGCAAAGAAGCAAUCACAAAAAUGAUGAGUCAGAUCCCCAGGCAUCAUGAGAGAGGAAUGAACUGCAGUUGCAUCUGGGAUGAGAGAUACUCCAGAAGCUCAGGAAGGGAUCAGCUGAGUUUUGAAGGGAUCAACUGAGUUUGAAGUGAAUGGUAGAGAGCAGGAUGUGGAAGAAAGAGAAAGUUUUUGCACAAAAGAAGGGGACUUUAUUGCAAGAAGCCUGGCAGAGAAAUCGAGUGGGAUUCAGUGGACAUGUAAACCAGAAAAGCAAGAUGAGCAAUGCCUUUCCCAGCCUCAUGUUUUCCCUCCCCCAAUGGGGCUUUGGGAGGUUGCUGCUGCAUUGGUGGAGAAUGACUGAAACGAGCAUUCACAGCAGCAAAAGUCAGCUUUGAAAAUUUUCCCAGCAGAAUAAGUGGUGCCUGUAUUAGAAGAAUAAACUGCCACAUUCCAGUCCAUUCCAAGAGGGAAAAGGAGCCUUAUGCUGCCUCUACCUAUCCAUCUGAAAAUUCACCUUCAUAUGCAUAUUCCAUGGCUGGAUGAAGAACACCUUGGCACAGGUAUACGUCAUACACGUGUCUAAUGCAAUUUGCUGCAAUAUAUUUAUCACAUUAUGGAAGAGUGUUAUCUUCAUCAAUUACAAGCAAAAAAAGGCUCCUAGAAUUAAUAAGGGGAUAAAAGCUAAAUUUGUAUUUCAGUGGACUCUUGAAGGCUUAUCUCCAUGGGAAAGCUGUAUGUAAAUCUGCAGUGUUUCAUCUGGCUUAUGUUAAGUCCUACGUUUGGAUUUCAAUUCUAUGGGGAGAAGCUGCAGCCCUGAGGGCAGCUGUAGAAAGUCCAGGUGCUGUGCUACUGCUGAUCCCUCCUGCUCCUAAGCCAGAGCCCUGCACCAUCUCUCAGUUCUUUCAUCUGUGGAAGGAGGUAAGAGGAUUGCUGUACCUCAAAGACGUGAAGUUCAGAUAAUUACAAGUGUGAGACACUGAAAUAUUACACAAGUAAAAAUACCUCAGAUGAAGAAUCGUUGCUCUUUCAAGGCUAAUGUGAUUUUCUCCAGGUUGUCCUGUUCAGUGAAUUCUAAAGGGCAGGGAUAUGGUUUCCUUAAACUCUGUGGAAUGAUGCUGGAUUUCUAUUUGUUGGCUUUUAUUUUCUAUGACAGUCCAUAGGGUUUUUCCUCAAGGGAUUAAAGUGCCUUUAUAGACCUUGCUCCCCACAUCCUUCUUCUUCUUCUUCCCUUUUCUUCUCUUCUGAACUUAGAUAUACACUUCAUUCUGACAAGUUGCAGAAAAAAAUCUAUCUGAUCUGUUACCAGUUUUAUGUAAUUUAAAAUGCAGGGUUACACUGGACUAUUUUCAGUGGAGAAAAAAAGAGAUUAAUCAUCCUGAGGUGGAUGCAAUCCCUUCAAGAUCUUGAGUCCUAAACUGACAAGUUACUGUGGGCAACCUGAACCACUUGGCUCCCAAAUCCUUCUCAAUCAUAAUUUAUAACAAAGAAGGAUAUUCCUUAGGUUAAAUGUUUUGGCUUCUUCUCAUCUUUUGUGCCACUUUUCUGAAAUAUUUUUUGGGUAUGAAUUGGUACUGCACAUCAAAUUUCUCUUUUGCAUUCAAUGAGGGCCCAGUCAUUCUAACAAACUUCAAAAGGGAUUUCAUAUUCUAUAAAAUACUUCAUAUUUCUUUUUAUCAAAGUCUGAUUUUUUUCCCAGGGUUGUACCAGCUCACACUACCUACCAAGUCUGUCUGUCUGCAUCACUUUCACGUGUUUGUGAAUUGCUAAUGAAGCUACCUGGGCCUCAAAGCUUGCAAAGGGUUCCCUUUGACUGGGUUUGUACAACCUGAAUUAAUUCUCCUCUAGAAAUGCACUUCUCCUUUUGCCCAUUGCUUAAAAUGAAAGGAUUCCCUUGUUGUGAGGGUGAGCUCUUAGAAGCCCAGCAACAACAUUGUCAACCAAAGGUUAUCAGUUUUGCUUUACAAAUUACUGAGAGGGAACCAGAAGAUGAAAAAUCCAGGGAGAUGUUCUCAGCCCAUUUUUGCUCUGCUGUAGCUGAGAAACCUUGACCACUUCUGCUUAUAAUGUAACAUCCCAUAACUUCCAUACCUGAUUGCAAAAUAGCUGAAAACCCCAAAUGUGAAACUUUACUUACAAACCACUGUUUUUUCUGCAAUGGUGGUGCAGUGAUGCAUCUUGCCUUUCUGCUUAUCCAGGUUAGCUAUAGAUCCAGUAAACAUAUAUUGCUCCAAAGGACUGACAAGAGGUGUCCUCCAUUCUAAAACUGUUAGCAGAUAUUUCUUCCUAGUGAAAAGCAGUUAAAUGUUCACUAAUAUCCUAAAA
Long non-coding RNA from Parus major (Great Tit), 2324 nucleotides. RefSeq lists it as uncharacterized. NCBI's taxonomy places the organism in Eukaryota, Metazoa, Chordata, Aves, Passeriformes, Paridae. The transcript is spliced from 5 exons. The record is from RefSeq and is a predicted model, not a curated record.